GUGCCAGCAGCCGCGGUAAUACGUAGGGUGCGAGCGUUAAUCGGAAUUACUGGGCGUAAAGCGUGCGCAGGCUGUUCUGUAAGUCAGAUGUGAAAUCCCCGAGCUCAACUUGGGAACUGCGUUUGAAACUACAGGACUAGAAUAUGUCAGAGGGGGGUAGAAUUCCACGUGUAGCAGUGAAAUGCGUAGAGAUGUGGAGGAAUACCAAUGGCGAAGGCAGCCCCCUGGGAUAAUAUUGACGCUCAUGCACGAAAGCGUGGGGAGCAAACAGGAUUAGAUACCCUAGUAGUCC
RNAcentral lists this ribosomal RNA (292 nucleotides) under uncultured bacterium. RNAcentral's name for it is "partial 16S ribosomal RNA". It matches the Rfam family "Bacterial small subunit ribosomal RNA", at positions 505 to 796 of the family's 1533-position model. The record is from RNAcentral.